This is a non-coding RNA of Salmonella enterica subsp. enterica serovar Macclesfield, 120 nucleotides long. The record is from Rfam. Lineage: Bacteria; Pseudomonadati; Pseudomonadota; Gammaproteobacteria; Enterobacterales; Enterobacteriaceae.
AGUUAUUCACGUAGGGUACAGAGGUAAGAUGUUCUAUCUUUCAGACCUUUUACUUCACGUAAUCGGAUUUGGCUGAAUAUUUUAGCCGCCCCAGUCAGUUUAUGACUGGGGCGUUUUUUA